GGGCGAUUAACUCAGUGGCAAGAGUGCUUCCCUUACAAGGAAGAAGUCACAGGUUCAAAUCCUGUAUCGCCCACCA
This 76-nucleotide transfer RNA is filed under the name Candidatus Cloacimonadota bacterium. RNAcentral describes it as "Candidatus Cloacimonetes bacterium (marine metagenome) tRNA-Val". It matches the Rfam family "tRNA". Rfam says of the family: Transfer RNA (tRNA) molecules are approximately 80 nucleotides in length. Their secondary structure includes four short double-helical elements and three loops (D, anti-codon, and T loops). Further hydrogen bonds mediate the characteristic L-shaped molecular structure. tRNAs have two regions of fundamental functional importance: the anti-codon, which is responsible for specific mRNA codon recognition, and the 3' end, to which the tRNAs corresponding amino acid is attached (by aminoacyl-tRNA synthetases). tRNAs cope with the degeneracy of the genetic code in two manners: having more than one tRNA (with a specific anti-codon) for a particular amino acid; and 'wobble' base-pairing, i.e. permitting non-standard base-pairing at the 3rd anti-codon position. Lineage: Bacteria; Pseudomonadati; Candidatus Cloacimonadota. The record is from RNAcentral.